UUCGAGCGUCAUUAUCACCAAUCGAGCCCCGCUCGGUGUUGGGCGCUGCGGCCCGUCCGCACGCCCCAAUGUCUCCGGCUGGGCCGUCUGUCUCGAAGCGUUGUGGCAACUCAACCCGCUUGCGAGCCCGGACGGUCGACGCCGCUAAACCUCCACACCAGGUUGACCUCGGAUCAGGUAGGGAUACCCGCUGAACUUAA
RNAcentral lists this unclassified non-coding RNA (200 nucleotides) under soil metagenome. RNAcentral's name for it is "partial contains internal transcribed spacer 2 and large subunit ribosomal RNA". The record is from RNAcentral.